RNAcentral lists this ribosomal RNA (406 nucleotides) under uncultured bacterium. RNAcentral describes it as "partial 16S ribosomal RNA". It matches the Rfam family "Bacterial small subunit ribosomal RNA", at positions 29 to 526 of the family's 1533-position model. The record is from RNAcentral.
AUUGAACGCUGGCGGCAGGCCUAACACAUGCAAGUCGAACGAGUGGCGGACGGGUGAGUAAUGUCUGGGAAACUGCCCGAUGGAGGGGGAUAACUACUGGAAAAGGUAGCUAAUACCGCAUACCAUCGGAUGUGCCCAGAUGGGAGUAGCUAGUAGGUGGGGUAACGGCUCACCUAGGCGACGAUCCCUAGCUGGUCUGCGAGGAUGACCAGCCACACUGGAACUGAGACACGGUCCAGACUCCUACGGGAGGCAGCAGUGGGGAAUAUUGCACAAUGGGCGCAAGCCUGAUGCAGCCAUGCCGCGUGUAGGAAGAAGGCCUUCGGGUUGUAAAGUACUUUCAGCGAGGAGGCGGUACUCGCAGAAGAAGCACCGGCUAACUCCGGGCCAGCAGCCGCGGUAAUAC